Molecule: ribosomal RNA, 427 nt
Filed under: Salmonella enterica subsp. enterica serovar Corvallis
Lineage: Bacteria; Pseudomonadati; Pseudomonadota; Gammaproteobacteria; Enterobacterales; Enterobacteriaceae
Description: partial 23S ribosomal RNA
Rfam family: Bacterial large subunit ribosomal RNA
Source: RNAcentral
UGUUUCGGCUAGGGGGCCAUCCCGGCUUACCAACCCGAUGCAAACUGCGAAUACCGGAGAAUGUUAUCACGGGAGACACACGGCGGGUGCUAACGUCCGUCGUGAAGAGGGAAACAACCCAGACCGCCAGCUAAGGUCCCAAAGUCAUGGUUAAGUGGGAAACGAUGUGGGAAGGCCCAGACAGCCAGGAUGUUGGCUUAGAAGCAGCCAUCAUUUAAAGAAAGCGUAAUAGCUCACUGGUCGAGUCGGCCUGCGCGGAAGAUGUAACGGGGCUAAACCAUGCACCGAAGCUGCGGCAGCGAACGUAUCACUUAAAGCGAUUCAGCGGGUUACGAUUGACGGAGCGAAGCGACGUCAAAGCGUAUACAAAGUCGAGUCGGUUUAAGGAUACGUUCGUUGGGUAGGGGAGCGUUCUGUAAGCCUGUGA